This 472-nucleotide ribosomal RNA is filed under the name uncultured bacterium. RNAcentral's name for it is "SSU rRNA". It matches the Rfam family "Bacterial small subunit ribosomal RNA", at positions 26 to 518 of the family's 1533-position model. The record is from RNAcentral.
AGGACGAACGCUGGCGGCGUGCUUAACACAUGCAAGUCGAGCGGAAAGGCCCUUCGGGGUACUCGAGCGGCGAACGGGUGAGUAACACGUGAGUAAUCUGCCCCUAGCUCUGGGAUAGCUCCGGGAAAACCGGGAUUAAUACCAGAUACGACCACUUUAGACAUCUUCUGUGGUGGAAAGAACUUCGGCUAGGGAUGAACUCGCGGCCUAUCAGCUUGUUGGUGAGGUAACGGCUCACCAAGGCGACGACGGGUAGCCGGCCUGAGAGGGCGACCGGCCACACUGGGACUGAGACACGGCCCAGACUCCUACGGGAGGCAGCAGUGGGGAAUAUUGCGCAAUGGGCGAAAGCCUGACGCAGCGACGCCGCGUGGGGAUGAAGGCCUUCGGGUUGUAAACCCUUUCAGCAGGGACGAAGCGAAAGUGACGGUACCUGCAGAGAAGCGCCGGCUAACUACGUGCCAGCAGCCGC